RNAcentral lists this ribosomal RNA (668 nucleotides) under uncultured Bacteroidales bacterium. RNAcentral describes it as "bacterial SSU rRNA". It matches the Rfam family "Bacterial small subunit ribosomal RNA", at positions 67 to 724 of the family's 1533-position model. Lineage: Bacteria; Pseudomonadati; Bacteroidota; Bacteroidia; Bacteroidales. The record is from RNAcentral.
GGGCAGCAUGGUCUUAGCUUGCUAAGGCCGAUGGCGACCGGCGCACGGGUGAGUAACACGUAUCCAACCUGCCGUCUACUCUUGGACAGCCUUCUGAAAGGAAGAUUAAUACAAGAUGGCAUCAUGAGUCCGCAUGUUCACAUGAUUAAAGGUAUUCCGGUAGACGAUGGGGAUGCGUUCCAUUAGAUAGUAGGCGGGGUAACGGCCCACCUAGUCUUCGAUGGAUAGGGGUUCUGAGAGGAAGGUCCCCCACAUUGGAACUGAGACACGGUCCAAACUCCUACGGGAGGCAGCAGUGAGGAAUAUUGGUCAAUGGGCGAGAGCCUGAACCAGCCAAGUAGCGUGAAGGAUGACUGCCCUAUGGGUUGUAAACUUCUUUUAUAAAGGAAUAAAGUCGGGUAUGGAUACCCGUUUGCAUGUACUUUAUGAAUAAGGAUCGGCUAACUCCGUGCCAGCAGCCGCGGUAAUACGGAGGAUCCGAGCGUUAUCCGGAUUUAUUGGGUUUAAAGGGAGCGUAGAUGGAUGUUUAAGUCAGUUGUGAAAGUUUGCGGCUCAACCGUAAAAUUGCAGUUGAUACUGGAUAUCUUGAGUGCAGUUGAGGCAGGCGGAAUUCGUGGUGUAGCGGUGAAAUGCUUAGAUAUCACGAAGAACUCCGAUUGCGAAGGCAG